This 225-nucleotide ribosomal RNA is filed under the name Staphylococcus aureus. RNAcentral describes it as "partial 16S ribosomal RNA". It matches the Rfam family "Bacterial small subunit ribosomal RNA", at positions 1 to 215 of the family's 1533-position model. The record is from RNAcentral. Lineage: Bacteria; Bacillati; Bacillota; Bacilli; Caryophanales; Staphylococcaceae. RNAcentral also lists the same sequence under 1 other name.
UUUAUGGAGAGUUUGAUCCUGGCUCAGGAUGAACGCUGGCGGCGUGCCUAAUACAUGCAAGUCGAGCGAACGGACGAGAAGCUUGCUUCUCUGAUGUUAGCGGCGGACGGGUGAGUAACACGUGGAUAACCUACCUAUAAGACUGGGAUAACUUCGGGAAACCGGAGCUAAUACCGGAUAAUAUUUUGAACCGCAUGGUUCAAAAGUGAAAGACGGUCUUGCUGU